Molecule: ribosomal RNA, 300 nt
Filed under: Triticum aestivum (bread wheat)
Lineage: Eukaryota; Viridiplantae; Streptophyta; Magnoliopsida; Poales; Poaceae
Description: partial small subunit ribosomal RNA
Source: RNAcentral
UACUUCAAUUGUCACAUCAAUGUUGAGGCAUGUAGAAGCAUAAAGGCUGUUAAAUACCUGUUCAAGUACAUAUACAAGGGCCAUGAUCGAGCAUCUAUUUCUCUGAGUGAGUCUGACAAGGCUAACAAAAAUGGAGGUAUAGAUGAGAUCAAACAGUACAGGGACGCUAGGUGGGUGAAUCCUCCAGAAGCAUUAUGGAGGAUAUAUGGCUUUGAAUUGAGCAAGAACUCACCACCUGUGAUGCAGUUGCAACUCCAUCUGCCCAACAUGCACAUGGUGUCAUUUAGAAAGGGGCAAGAU